CUGGAGGUACUAGUAAUCGCAGAUCAGAAUGCUGCGGUGAAUGCGUUCCCGGGUCUUGUACACACCGACCGUCACACCACGGAAGUUGGAGACGCCCGAAGCCGAUUAUCUAACCUUUUGGAAGAAGUCGGCGAAGGUGGAAUCAAUAACUGGGGUGAAGUCGUAACAAGGUAGCCGUAUCGGAAGGUGCGGCUGGAUCACCUCCUUUCUAAGGAGA
This 217-nucleotide ribosomal RNA is filed under the name Clostridioides difficile. RNAcentral's name for it is "partial 16S ribosomal RNA". It matches the Rfam family "Bacterial small subunit ribosomal RNA", at positions 1326 to 1533 of the family's 1533-position model. Lineage: Bacteria; Bacillati; Bacillota; Clostridia; Peptostreptococcales; Peptostreptococcaceae. The record is from RNAcentral.